Molecule: ribosomal RNA, 490 nt
Filed under: uncultured bacterium
Lineage: Bacteria
Description: bacterial SSU rRNA
Rfam family: Bacterial small subunit ribosomal RNA
Source: RNAcentral
AUUGAACGCUGGCGGCAUGCCUUACACAUGCAAGUCGAACGGCAGCAUGGGUGCUUGCACCUGAUGGCGAGUGGCGAACGGGUGAGUAAUGCAUCGGAACGUACCCGGAAGUGGGGGAUAACGUAGCGAAAGUUACGCUAAUACCGCAUAUUCUGUGAGCAGGAAAGCGGGGGAUCGCAAGACCUCGCGCUUCCGGAGCGGCCGAUGUCGGAUUAGCUAGUUGGCGGGGUAAAGGCCCACCAAGGCAACGAUCCGUAGCGGGUCUGAGAGGAUGAUCCGCCACACUGGGACUGAGACACGGCCCAGACUCCUACGGGAGGCAGCAGUGGGGAAUAUUGGACAAUGGGCGCAAGCCUGAUCCAGCCACGCCGCGUGAGUGAUGAAGGCCUUCGGGUCGUAAAGCUCUGUGGGGAGGGACGGAACGGCGGCCAUGAAGAGUGGCGAUUGACGGUACCUCCUUAGCAAGCACCGGCUAACUUCGUGCCAGCAG